GACAGAGGGUGCAAACGUUGUUCGGAAUUACUGGGCGUAAAGCGCAUGUAGGCGGCCUAGCAGGUCGGAUGUGAAAUCCCUCGGCUCAACCAAGGAAGUGCAUUCGAAACCGCAAGGCUGGAGUCCCGGAGAGGAUGGUGGAAUUCUCGGUGUAGAGGUGAAAUUCGUAGAUAUCGAGAGGAACACCGGCGGCGAAAGCGGCCAUCUGGACGAGGACUGACGCUGAGAUGCGAAAGCGUGGGGAGCAAACAGG
This 253-nucleotide ribosomal RNA is filed under the name uncultured bacterium. RNAcentral's name for it is "partial 16S ribosomal RNA". It matches the Rfam family "Bacterial small subunit ribosomal RNA", at positions 524 to 776 of the family's 1533-position model. The record is from RNAcentral.